GUCGUCGAUUAGUUUGUUUUCCUUCAGAAGCAUAUUAACAAUUAAAGUUAAAACAAAAAUAAUAAUUUAUAACUAAUAUCUACGCUUGUGUAUUAUGAUGCGUUGUCUGUUUUCAAAGUUUAAUCUCUAAACUUUUAUCACAAAAUAUUAUAUAUUAAAGUGGCAAGUGCAAUUUGAGGGAUCAGCGUACCAAUGUGACUCUGUUUCUAGCUUAAGAGAAAUGUCUAAUCGUUGAACUAUCAUUAGUUAUAAUGAGGUUUCCUGAUGCACUUGAGCCAUUAAAAAUCAAAUACCUUGUUACUGUAGCUUACAGUACACAGAUGUAUUAGUAUCG
RNAcentral lists this long non-coding RNA (334 nucleotides) under Mytilus galloprovincialis (Mediterranean mussel). The record is from RNAcentral. Lineage: Eukaryota; Metazoa; Mollusca; Bivalvia; Mytilida; Mytilidae.